RNAcentral lists this ribosomal RNA (626 nucleotides) under Pseudocrenilabrus philander. RNAcentral describes it as "partial 16S ribosomal RNA". The stretch from base 1 to 376 matches the Rfam family "Bacterial large subunit ribosomal RNA", at positions 797 to 1299 of the family's 2925-position model. Lineage: Eukaryota; Metazoa; Chordata; Actinopteri; Cichliformes; Cichlidae. The record is from RNAcentral.
GAGUGGGAAGAACUUCGAGUAGAGGUGAUAGACCUACCGAGCCUAGUUAUAGCUGGUUGCCUGAGAACUGAAUAGAAGUUCAGCCCUUUGAAUUCUCCACUCCCAUUGACCUAAAACCUUCACACNNGAGUAAAGAAAUUAAAGGAGUUAGUCAAAGGGGGUACAGCCCCUUUGAAACAAGAUACAACUUUCCAAGGAGGGUAAAAAUCAUAACAAACUUAAAGGUUUUAUGUCCUAGUGGGCCUAAAAGCAGCCACCUAUUCAGAAAGCGUUAAAGCUCGAGCAUUACCUANNCAACCUUCUAAUAAAGACAAUACAAUUUCACCCCCCUAAACCUACCAGGCCAUUCCAUAAAAUUAUGGAAGCAUUUAUGCUGAUAUGAGUAAUAAGAGAACCCNACCUCUCCCCGCACAAGUGUAACUCGGAACGAACCCUUCACCGACCAUUAACGGCCCCAAAACAAAGAGGGCCCUAGGCAAAAAACAAAAAACUAGAAAAUCCCCUAGUUCCUCACCGUUAACCCCACACUGGUGUGCAAACCAGGAAAGACUAAAAGAAAAAGAAGGAACUCGGCAAACACAAGCCUCGCCUGUUUACCAAAAACAUCGCCUCUUGAACCCCUAAAU